This 317-nucleotide unclassified non-coding RNA is filed under the name Hevea brasiliensis (rubber tree). Lineage: Eukaryota; Viridiplantae; Streptophyta; Magnoliopsida; Malpighiales; Euphorbiaceae. The record is from RNAcentral.
AGGGUUUUCAGUCGCGCUACUCGAAUUGGGAAUUCCAAAUUGAAUCCCUUUCGAGCCAUGCUGGUUGUUAUUGCCAUUUGUAGUGCCAUUCGAAGAUGGAACUGUGCUAUUUCCAUCCUUCAUUUCAAUCCCACUAUGAGAUGCAUCACUGAUCCACAGCGAGGAUGGAUCAUUCUCACCCUGGUCAGGGUUCGUUCCCAUCGGCCACGAACCCACAUCCAGAUUAUUGAAAUUAAACAAAACCCUAACCUUAUUCAUAAGAUCCGAGCUCUGAUAAAUCAUCUCAGAUGAACCCAGCUCAACAACUCCAUUCGCUG